GAUGAACGCUGGCGGCGUGCCUAAUACAUGCAAGUCGAGCGAACGGACGAGAAGCUUGCUUCUCUGAUGUUAGCGGCGGACGGGUGAGUAACACGUGGAUAACCUACCUAUAAGACUGGGAUAACUUCGGGAAACCGGAGCUAAUACCGGAUAAUAUUUUGAACCGCAUGGUUCAAAAGUGAAAGACGGUCUUGCUGUCACUUAUAGAUGGAUCCGCGCUGCAUUAGCUAGUUGGUAAGGUAACGGCUUACCAAGGCAACGAUGCAUAGCCGACCUGAGAGGGUGAUCGGCCACACUGGAACUGAGACACGGUCCAGACUCCUACGGGAGGCAGCAGUAGGGAAUCUUCCGCAAUGGGCGAAAGCCUGACGGAGCAACGCCGCGUGAGUGAUGAAGGUCUUCGGAUCGUAAAACUCUGUUAUUAGGGAAGAACAUAUGUGUAAGUAACUGUGCACAUCUUGACGGUACCUAAUCAGAAAGCCACGGCUAACUACGUGCCAGCAGCCGCGGUAAUACGUAGGUGGCAAGCGUUAUCCGGAAUUAUUGGGCGUAAAGCGCGCGUAGGCGGUUUUUUAAGUCUGAUGUGAAAGCCCACGGCUCAAUCGUGGAGGGUCAUUGGAAACUGGAAAACUUGAGUGCAGAAGAGGAAAGUGGAAUUCCAUGUGUAGCGGUGAAAUGCGCAGAGAUAUGGAGGAACACCAGUGGCGAAGGCGACUUUCUGGUCUGUAACUGACGCUGAUGUGCGAAAGCGUGGGGAUCAAACAGGAUUAGAUACCCUGGUAGUCCACGCCGUAAACGAUGAGUGCUAAGUGUUAGGGGGUUUCCGCCCCUUAGUGCUGCAGCUAACGCAUUAAGCACUCCGCCUGGGGAGUACGACCGCAAGGUUGAAACUCAAAGGAAUUGACGGGGACCCGCACAAGCGGUGGAGCAUGUGGUUUAAUUCGAAGCAACGCGAAGAACCUUACCAAAUCUUGACAUCCUUUGACAACUCUAGAGAUAGAGCCUUCCCCUUCGGGGGACAAAGUGACAGGUGGUGCAUGGUUGUCGUCAGCUCGUGUCGUGAGAUGUUGGGUUAAGUCCCGCAACGAGCGCAACCCUUAAGCUUAGUUGCCAUCAUUAAGUUGGGCACUCUAAGUUGACUGCCGGUGACAAACCGGAGGAAGGUGGGGAUGACGUCAAAUCAUCAUGCCCCUUAUGAUUUGGGCUACACACGUGCUACAAUGGACAAUACAAAGGGCAGCGAAACCGCGAGGUCAAGCAAAUCCCAUAAAGUUGUUCUCAGUUCGGAUUGUAGUCUGCAACUCGACUACAUGAAGCUGGAAUCGCUAGUAAUCGUAGAUCAGCAUGCUACGGUGAGUACGUUCCCGGGUCU
This 1372-nucleotide ribosomal RNA is filed under the name uncultured bacterium. Its description in RNAcentral is "bacterial SSU rRNA". It matches the Rfam family "Bacterial small subunit ribosomal RNA", at positions 28 to 1381 of the family's 1533-position model. The record is from RNAcentral.